CGUAUGAUCCGGGAGCCCGGGCUGAUCAGCUGCUGCUCCCCGGGGUCUGUGCGGGGGAGAUCUCGUCAUUAAAGCUCCUUCCCUGCCACGCCGGGCGAGCUGGGACGUUCUCCAGGGGAACCAGCCUCCUAGAGCCCCGGACUCUGUCACCAUCAGCUCCGGCGCCAGAGACUCCAGGCUGCAGGAUGACGUCCAUGUUUUGCUCCACCUCAUCCCAUCCUCUCAUGGGACAGGAAAGGGAAAUGGCUGCAGUUGAGCCAGUUCAGGGGCCGAUGAUCUUUGAGGAGGUGGCUGGGUAUUUCGCCAGGGAAGAGGGGGCUCUGUUGGACCCCACUCAGAGAGCCCUGUACAGAGACAUCAUGGAGGAGAACUAUGAGACGGUGAUCUUGCUGG
Molecule: non-coding RNA, 393 nt
Organism: Chrysemys picta bellii (western painted turtle)
Lineage: Eukaryota; Metazoa; Chordata; Testudines; Emydidae
Source: RefSeq, a predicted model, not a curated record